RNAcentral lists this RNase P RNA (428 nucleotides) under Burkholderiaceae bacterium. RNAcentral describes it as "RNase P RNA component class A". It matches the Rfam family "Bacterial RNase P class A". Rfam says of the family: Ribonuclease P (RNase P) is a ubiquitous endoribonuclease, found in archaea, bacteria and eukarya as well as chloroplasts and mitochondria. Its best characterised activity is the generation of mature 5'-ends of tRNAs by cleaving the 5'-leader elements of precursor-tRNAs. The record is from RNAcentral. Lineage: Bacteria; Pseudomonadati; Pseudomonadota; Betaproteobacteria; Burkholderiales; Burkholderiaceae.
GAAGCAAGCCAGACCGCCGCUGGGGCAAGCGCCGAAAGGUGGCCCUGGAGGAAGGUCCGGACUGCACAGGGCGGCGUAGCAGCUAACGGCUGUCCACCGUGAGGUGAGGAUCAGAGCAACAGAGACGAGUCUGGGCAGUCAGCCCCUCGGGUGUUCUGUGGGGCGGUCGGCGCAAGUCGGCCGGAAUGGGCGCAAGCCCGGAACCCCGCAGCCACCCUGGGCGGCAAAGCCGCCCAGGGUGAAACGGGCAAUCUCUACGCGCAGCAACACCGAAUAGGCACACGUUGAUCCGGUCCGGGGAGUGUGCGGGUAGGUGGCACCGAGCCGGGUAGGCGACUCCCGGCCCAGAGGAAUGGCGGUCACGGUACCCCCGCCCCGCAAGGGGUUUGGGUGCUGCACAGAAUCCGGCCUAUCGGCUCGCUUCACAC